RNAcentral lists this ribosomal RNA (492 nucleotides) under Listeria monocytogenes. RNAcentral's name for it is "bacterial SSU rRNA". It matches the Rfam family "Bacterial small subunit ribosomal RNA", at positions 27 to 500 of the family's 1533-position model. The record is from RNAcentral. Lineage: Bacteria; Bacillati; Bacillota; Bacilli; Caryophanales; Listeriaceae.
GGACGAACGCUGGCGGCGUGCCUAAUACAUGCAAGUCGAACGAACGGAGGAAGAGCUUGCUCUUCCAAAGUUAGUGGCGGACGGGUGAGUAACACGUGGGCAACCUGCCUGUAAGUUGGGGAUAACUCCGGGAAACCGGGGCUAAUACCGAAUGAUAAAGUGUGGCGCAUGCCACGCUUUUGAAAGAUGGUUUCGGCUAUCGCUUACAGAUGGGCCCGCGGUGCAUUAGCUAGUUGGUAGGGUAAUGGCCUACCAAGGCAACGAUGCAUAGCCGACCUGAGAGGGUGAUCGGCCACACUGGGACUGAGACACGGCCCAGACUCCUACGGGAGGCAGCAGUAGGGAAUCUUCCGCAAUGGACGAAAGUCUGACGGAGCAACGCCGCGUGUAUGAAGAAGGUUUUCGGAUCGUAAAGUACUGUUGUUAGAGAAGAACAAGGAUAAGAGUAACUGCUUGUCCCUUGACGGUAUCUAACCAGAAAGCCACGGCUAA